This 8108-nucleotide long non-coding RNA is filed under the name Malus domestica (apple). RNAcentral's name for it is "long non-coding RNA (MDOM_LNC008683)". The record is from RNAcentral. Lineage: Eukaryota; Viridiplantae; Streptophyta; Magnoliopsida; Rosales; Rosaceae.
UAUACCUGUAAUGAUCUUCCAAGAAUGAAGUUAAUGGAAAAACAGAUUAUAGAUAAAAAAUGAUAAUAUGUGUUAAUCGAAUAUCAUAAAAUAACAUUGUUUUCGUUGUCUAUGGAUAUAAACACCUGAGUGAUUAAGGCAGUCAAUUUUUGAACACAUUUCUAGAAACAAUUUAACAUAAAAUAAAAUCAUCUGACAUCGUUUUGCAAGCAUAGAGAAACAGAACAAAAGUUAAUUCAAUAGCUAAACAGAUUUCAAAGAAAAUAGAAAAUAAUAAAUUUUUUUAUUAAAGCAAAUACCUGCAAAGAGUUUAACUCUAAAGCUUGUAAAAAUAACAAUUAUUGGCUUGGGUAGCUGUUCUGAUGAAAGAGCAGAGAAGCUAUGCGCAACAUCUGACCAUAGUGUAAUCUUAGCCUCUUUAUUUCUGUAAAAGAAGAAGAAGAAGAACAACAACAAAGCUUUUUCCCACUAAGUGGGGUCGGCUAUAUGAAUCCUAGAACGCCAUUGCGCUCGGUUGUGUGUCAUGUCCUCCGUUAGAUCCAAGUACUCUAAGUCUUUUAUUAGGGUCUCUUCCAAAGUUUUCCUAGGUCUUCCUCUACCCCUUCGGCCCUGAACCUCUGUCCCGUGGUCACAUCUAACUAACAGUUUAAAGGAGAUGGAUACGUGUAAAAGAACUGUGCAUUACACAUAGUAAACUAAAAAAUGAAUGUACCAUUUGACAACAUAAAAUAGAAGAAUAAAGAGUUUAGAGAUCAAUUGUAUACAAUCUUUACUACAGAGAGUAUAAAAACCAUGUCAUGUGCAUUAAAACAAAUAACUCAUCCUUAACACAGAAGAUCAAAUGUUUAUAAACUAAUUUUACGAAAAAAUGAUCACUAACCUUUUCAUCAACCAAUAUACAAUGUAAGGUUGUAUAUUUAUCGCCCAUGCCUGGAUACUUUGGUUUCCAUAUUCUACAAACACACACUUUAAUUUUGACAACCAUUUAUAUGCCACCAAUUGGUCAAGUGGAGUUGGACCUUCAUCUUCCAUUUAAUCUAUACAAAUGAAAUACAAAAUUAAUCUUUUACACACACACACAUACACAAAGCAAGUGCUUCCUAAUCCAAAGAGUCAAUCACAAUAAAGCAGCAGAUUAGUGAAUAGUCAAUCAUGAUUUCUUUUGAGGCCAAAAAACCUCAUUAGUGAUGGUGAAUCAAUAUGGAAGUCGCUCUAGAUUAGCGAUGAUGAUUUUAAAAUGGACACUGAAGAGCCAUUCAUUGAACGAUGUAACUAUUAAAUCUGUUAAAUUGCAGCAGGAAAAGCUUAACAUACACUCUUAAAUUGAGAUGCUGGUCCAAGAGUCAUAAAUAGUUACCAAUAUGUAUUAUCAUCCGCAACAACUAUCAAAUUAAUUCUUUUGAUUACUUAGUUACCGACAUAGCUAUUAUUCCUGACAAACUAAUGAUGGUAAGUGAUUAUCUAUAAACAAACCCUUCUUCCAAUUGCUAUUUUCUUAGUUGCCAAAAUCUUCCACCACGACGAUAAAAAUAGCCAUAUUUUCAUGAAGGUAUACCCACUGUAUAUAGUUACACAUCUAAACCCAAAUCUGUAUACCACAUACGAAUGCCAAAUCAACUAAUUUGAAAAAAAAUAUUAAAGGUCAAGACCAAUAACAAACGGGAACUUUACAUUUCAUUGAAAUAUAAAUUGCAAGUUUAACAUGAAAACUAGACCAAUCUACACAAAAAUAACGUAAAAACUAAUUGAAAGUUUCUAAACGAAGGCAAAACCAACAACAACAACAACAAAGCCUUUUCCCACUAAGUGGGGUCGGCUAUAUGAAUCCUAGAACGCCAUUGCGCUCGGUUUUGUGUCAUGUCCUCCGUUAGAUCCAAGUACUCAAGUCUUUUCUUAGGGUCUCUUCCAAAGUUUUCCUAGGUCUUCCUCUACCCCUUCGGCCCUGAACCUCUGUCCCGUAGUCACAUUUUCGAACCGGAGCGUCAGUAGGCCUUCUUUGCACAUGUCCAAACCACCGGAACCGAUUUUCUCUCAUAUUUCCUUCAAUUUUGGCUACUCCUACUUUACCUCGGAUAUCCUCAUUCCCAAUCUUAUCAUUUCUCGUGUGCCCAUACAUCCCACGAAGCAUCCUCAUCUCCGCUACACCCAUUUUGUGUACGUGUUGAUGCUUCACCGCCCAACAUUCUGUGCCAUACAACAUCGCUGGCCUUAUUGCCGUCCUAUAAAAUUUUCCCUUGAGCUUCAGUGGCCUACGACGGUCACACAACACGCCGGAUGCACUCUUACACUUCAUCCAUCCAGCUUGUAUUCUAUGGUUGAGAUCUCCAUCUAAUUCUCCGUUCUCUUGCAAGAUAGAUCCUAGGUAGCGAAAACGGUCACUUUUUGUGAUCUUCGCUAGAUUGCUCCGGUCAUUAGUGUAGAUAAGUAUAUAAAUGGAUAGAGAUAGGAGAGCAAACACAAGAUGUACGUGGUUCACCCAGAUUGGCUACGUCCACGGAAUAGAGGAGUUCUCAUUAAUUGUGAAGGGUUUACACAAGUACAUAGGUUCAAGCUCUCCUUUAGUGAGUACAAGUGAAUGAUUUAGUACAAAUGACAUUAGGAAAUAUUGUGGGAGAAUGAUCUCGUAACCACGAAACUUCUAAGUACCGGAGUGUGGUAUCGUCUUGACUUGCCUUAUCUGUCUCAUAGGUACAUGUGGCAUAUUCUCUGGAAGUACUCUUCCUCCAUCCAGGGGUGGUAUCUGUAACUGGUGGAGAUGCACAAGGUAAUGUAUCAAUUUCACUUGAAGCUUACUUGUAGUUUCAGGCUUGGCCAAGUGCGAUACAAACCAUGUAGUAGGAGUCCCCCAAGUCGCCGAGCUAGGGGAUCUGCUGAAAGAGGUGACAGACAAGGUAAGCAAUCAGAGCUCCGGCUGAUUGUUCACAUUCUCCCUAUCUUGCAGGCAGCAUGAAGGAUAAAGAGAAGAAAAAUGAGAAGAGAUGAUAUGGGAUACUUUUGCUUUUGAAGAAGUAACUUUCCACAGGCUUAUUCUUGAACUGGGCUGGAGGGUUUUUUGGUUUCCUCCAGAGUAUAAGGCCGACUGAAGAAUUUGAGGGUCAAAACAAGUCCAUCAAAUCUAGUGUACGUUCGACCCUGCUGAUAUGGGAUACUUUUGCUUUUGACAGAGUAGUGGAUGUAUCGGCACGUGUGCUGUUACGCUUGUCUCCACAUGCUUCCUUGUAUCCUUCUCACUUGCCCUAUCUGUUCCUCAGGCAGAUGCGGUAUCUUCCCUGGAAGCAUAAGAUGUUGAAGAUGAGUACUCGAGAGCAAUGCCAGGUAAGUAAUCAGGUAAGGGGUUCCAGGCAGUCAGUUCCUGGCUGGAAGCUUGAUUCCAAGUGCUGACUGAUUGCUCUCUUUCUCCUUGUCUUGCAGGUAAGAACAAGGCCAAAGGAAAAGACAGGGAAAAAGCAUGAUAUGGGAUACUCUUGCUUUUAACCCUGAUGAUAUGAGAUAUUCUUGCUCUAGUAUAGCUUGUUUACAAAUGUAUUAUCGGGGGGAAAGAAAGCUGAAUAUUUCGAAAGGCUUCGUUGGGAGUGCCCUCUCAGAUAAGAGGAAGGGUUGAGCAUUUUUGCAGGUAUGCCUGUCCGUUGGGGAUGGAGGUCGACAUAUAUAGGAGUCUCCCUAACAUCAAGUAAUAAUGCUAUUCCUUUACCCUGCUUGAUCAUAGUACGGUAGUGGGAGCUGCCAGCUUCACAUGUUUUAACUCUGUCAGAGCACUUUGAAAAAGUGGUCUGUGGUAUCUGGAAAGCUGAUGUUGCGUGUGAAGAUUACAGAGAAGCUUUAUCCAAGGAGAUCCAGCUCCUGAAGUUGGGAAAGUGGUGCCUCUUCGGUUUUCGAACAAGCAAUCCUGUCGGGGAUCUGGCUCUCGAGAUUCGGAGAACGAUGCCUUUUCGAUUUUUGAGAAAAUAAUCCUGCUGGGGGUCUGGCUCUCGAGAUUCGGAGAGCGGUGUCUCUUCGAUUUUUGAGAAAGUAAUCAUGUUGGGAGUCCGGCUCUCGAGAUUCUGAGGGCGGUGCCUCUUCGAUUUUGGAGCAAGCAAUCUUGUUGGGAGUGUUUUCUCGAAUAUGAGUAAAGGUUGGGCAUGUUUGCUAGUCUACCUUGCCACGAAACACAGAGGUUGACACACAGGGACUUUCCAAUUAUCCAGCAGUGGUACUGUUCCUUUACCAUCUCUUCGAUUUUUUAGAAAGUAAUCAUGUUGGGAGUCUGGCUCUCGAGAUUCGGAGGGCGAUGCCUCUUCGAUUUUGGAGCAAGCAAUCUUGUUGGGAGUGUUUUCUCGAAUAUGAGUAAAGGUUGGGCAUGUUUGCUAGUCUACCUUGCCACGAAGCACAGAGGUUGACACACAGGGACUUUCUAAUUAUCCAGCAGUGGUACUGUUCCUUUACCUUCUCUUCAAUUUUUGAGAAAGUAAUCAUGUUGGGAGUCUGGCUCUCGAGAUUCGGAGGGCGGUGCCUCUUCGAUUUUGGAGCAAGCAAUCUUGUUGGGAGUGUUUUCUCGAAUGUGAGUAAAGGUUGGACAUGUUUUCUAGUCUACCUUGCCACAAAGCACAGAGGUUGACACACCGGGACUUUCCAAUUAUCCAGCAGUGGUACUGUUCCUUUACCCUUGUGGGUAAUAAUAUGGUAGCUAGACCUUCAAAAUUUAUGUGUCUAAACUUUGUUAGUGUUGUUUCUUUGCUAUUCUUUUACCCUUCUUGGUCAGAGCGAUGUAGUAGGAGCUGGAAGCUUCACGUGUCUCAACUUUGUCAGAGAACUUUGACAAAGUUAUCUGUGGUACCCAUGAGCUACUGUUGCGUGUGGGAAGUGGGUGAUUGAACAGUACGAUUCAUGUGCUUUUUACUUCGCCAGAAAUCUUCGACAGAAUGCCCAUAAUUUCCGCAAAGCUGAGUGUGCGUGUGACAGGUGCUGACAAGGCUGGAAAAGUAGGUGCCUCUUCGAUUUCUGAGAUCGGCCCUCGUGGUCUCUGAGCAGCCCAGCUUUUGAGAAAGCAAGCCUCUUCGAUUUCUGAGAUCGGCCGUCGUGGUUUUUGAGCAUCCCAGCUUUUGAGAAAGCAAACGCCUCUUCGAUUUCUGAGAUCGACCCUCGUGGUCUCUGAGCAGCCCAGCUUUUGAGAAAGCAAACGCCUCUUCGAUUUCUGAGCAGGCGCCUCUUCGAUUUCUGAAGCUUCGUCGAGUGCAGAUUUUUAUAGGGGCUGACAUUAAGUUCCAAAGCACACUUGAAUAUCCACCAGUAGAAGCUCCAUUCUUGCACUUCUAAGAUCUUGAUUUGUCCGACCUCUUCUCUCUUCAACACCUUUGAAAAUGUCUGGCCCCUCCGACCGUCGUUUUGACUUGAACCUUGUUGAAGAGGCAGCCCCACAUUCUCCAGACAACAUAUGGCGCCCAUCCUUCGUCUCCCCUACUGGUCCUCUUACCGUUGGGGAUUUCGUGAUGAAGAAUGAUAUGACCGCUGCGGUAGUGGCCAGGAACCUUCUCACUCCCAAAGAUAACAGACUACUUUCCAAACGGUCUGAUGAGUUGGCUGUUAAGGAUUCUCUGGCUCUCAGUGUUCAGUGUGCAAGUUCUGUGUCUAAUAUGGCCGAACGCCUAUUUGCUCGAACCCGCCAUGUUGAAUCAUUGGCGGCUGAAGUGAUGAGUCUCAAACAGGAGAUUAGAGGGCUCAAGCAUGAGAAUAAACAGUUGCACCGGCUCGCACAUGACUAUGCUACAAACAUGAAAAUGAAGCUUGACCAGAUGAAGGAAUCUGAUGGUCAGGUUUUACUUGAUCAUCAGAGAUUUGUGGGUUUGUUCCAAAGGCAUUUAUUGCCUUCGUCUUCUGGGGCUGUACCGCGUAAUGAAGCUCCAAAUGAUCAACCUCUGAUGCCUCCUCCUUCUAGGGUUCUGUCCAGUACUGAGGCUCCGAAUGAUCCCCCUCCGGUGCCUUCUCUUUCUGGGGCUCUACCGAUUGCUGAGACUUCUCCUAAGCAACCUUUGUGAAGGCUCCCUCUUGUUUGUUUAUUUUGACUCAAGUAUAUGUACAUAUUUGUAACUUAUCGGGGAUAUCAAUAAAUAAGCUUUCCUUCAUUUCAACGUAUUGUGUUAAAUACACCAAAGCCUUUUUCGCUAAGUUCUUUGAAUUUUCUUUUGUUGAAGCUUGUCUGUUGAAGCUUUGUGAGUGGAGCAUGUAGGUUGAGGUAGUGUUCCCUUAAUUUCCCGAGUGAGGAAAACUUCUCGGUUGGAGACUUGGAAAAUCCAAGUCACUGAGUGGGAUUGGCUAUAUGAAUCUUAGAACGCCAUUGUGUUCUGUCCUGUGUCAUGUCCUCCGUUAGAUCCAAGUACUCUAAGUCUUUUCUUAGGGUCUCUUCCAAAGUUUUCCUAGGUCUUCCUCUACCCCUUCGGCCCUGAACCUCUGUCCCAUAGUCGCAUCUUCUAAUCGGAGCGUCAGUAGGCCUUCUUUGCACAUGUCCAAACCACCGUAACCGAUUUUCUCUCAUCUUUCCUUCAAUUUCGGCUACUCCUACUUUACCCCGGAUAUCCUCAUUCCUAAUCUUAUCCUUUCUCGUGUGCCCACACAUCCAACGAAGCAUCCUCAUCUCCGCUACACCCAUUUUGUGUACGUGUUAAUGCUUCACCGCCCAACAUUCUGUGCCAUACAGCAUCGCCGGCCUUAUUGCCGUCCUAUAAAAUUUUGCCUUGAGCUUCAGUGGCAUACGGCGGUCACACAACACGCCGGAUGCACUCUUUCACUUCAUCCAUCCAGCUUGUAUUCUAUGGUUAAGAUCUCCAUCUAAUUCUCCGUUCUUUUGCAAGAUAGAUCCUAGGUAACGAAAACGGUCGCUCUUUGGUAUUUCUUGAUCUCCGAUCCUCACCCCUAACUCGUUUUGACUUCCAUUUGCACUGAACUUGCACUCCAUAUAUUCUGUCUUUGAUCGGCUUAGGCGAAGACCUUUAGAUUCCAACACUUCUCUCCAAAGGUUAAGCUUUGCAUUUACCCCUUCCUGAGUUUCAUCUAUCAACACUAUAUCGUCUGCAAAAAGCAUACACCAAGGAAUAUCAUCUUGAAUAUGUCCUGUUAACUCAUCCAUUACCAACGCAAAAAGGUAAGGACCUAAGGAUGAGCCUUGAUGUAAUCCUACAGUUAUGGGAAAGCUUUCGGUUUGUCCUUCAUGAGUUCUUACGGCAGUCUUUGCUCCUUCAUACAUAUCCUGUAUAGCUUGGAUAUAUGCUACUCGUACUUCUUUCUUCUCUAAAAUCCUCCAAAGAAUGUCUCUUGGGAUCCUAUCAUACGCUUUUUCCAAAUCUAUAAAGACCAUGUGUAAAUCCUUUUUCCCAUCUUUAUAUCUUUCCAUCAAUCUUCGUAAGAGAUAGAUUGCCUCCAUGGUUGAGCGCCCUGGCAUGAACCCGAAUUGGUUGUUCGAAAUCCGUGUCUCUUGCCUCAAUCUAUGCUCAAUGACUCUCUCCCAGAGCUUCAUUGUAUGACUCAUUAGCUUAAUACCUCUAUAGUUCAUGCAAUUUUGUACAUCGCCCUUAUUCUUGUAGAUAGGCACCAAAGUGCUCGUUCGCCACUCAUUUGAUCUGAAAUAAUUAAAACAACUAAACAUAGCACUCAAAUAACUCCAUAAAAAGCAAAAAGUCUAAAAACCCAUUACCUAACAAAGAUAGCAAGAAAUCUUUGUGCAAAUCGUCAAGAGAGAACCUGUGAAACGCUGAACACAAAAGUACAAAAAAAAGGAAAAAAAAACAAUUAAAAUUCGAUGCUCAAAACGAAAUAACAUUACACACGGUAGACUAACAACAUCACAGUAGCAGGGAAAUAACAGAAGCUAAAAAGCAAAACAAAUACAAAGACAAAAAACAGAACAAAAAAGAGAACAAAACUUACAAACCUAGAUUUGGAAGCAGCAAAAACACAAAUGGGACAACCCAGAACUCCAAAACAAAAGAAAACAACUAAAGAGAGAGAAAUAAGAAAGGAAAGCUAAAAUGGAAAAGGUGAGGGAUGAUCGACACGUGGCGGAAGCUAAACCGAAAGCCAAAAAAACCAGCAAAACCAAAAACAACAAAAAGCAUCUUUCCCACAGGAAGAAGAGGCGG